UCUGAGUUUUAUGUUAUCAGGGCCGAGCAUGUAGUCGUUGUCCCGAAGGCGACAGGCGUGCCCAAGCUUCUAAAAGCGAAGGGCAUUCUGAUUCUGAAGCAGUUGAUAGUGUCGGCCGCGUAGUGCUGUGCCUGCUCCAUCCUCUGCUGCUAUCCUGCCUGAGGCCAUCGUGGUCGAUGAAGGUGAAGCAGGAGUCUGCGACUAGUGGCGUGAAGCUAGAACUAGUCGAUGACCCUCUGUUAGCUGAUGUUGAGGUGAAGAAAAUGAAGGAGUUCUCCCACUUGUUCAACAACUCGUGACACAGUCCAGGGAGAAGUCUGAAUAGCUCAAGGCUAUGUCAACCAUCUCUGCAGAUGAGGACGCCCGAUUGAUUCAGGAGCUGAAGGAGCAGCAUGCCGAGGAGUUGAGUAAUAUCCAGGAGCGGCAUGUGGGAGAGCUCCAGAAGCUCCAUGAUAUCAAGAACAAAGCCCUUCAGGAGCAUAGAGAGCUCAAAACUGUGCUGAAAGCUAAGGAGUAUUUCAUUAUUGACUUGAUGUUUGAUGUGUACCGUUACACAGAUUGCCAUCAGAACUUGGAGAAGAAGCUGAAGGAUGUGGACCGCUAGAUGGUAGACUCCAUGAAGCAGAUCCAGGAUAUGACUGCUGAACUGCAGAGCUUCAAGGAUGCCGCUAAGCUGGUGGUUGACCUGGUGGAUCUCGUUGCUGGCGGAACUGCUGAAGGGAAACUUUACUGCAAUGUCUGCAGGAGGCCGCCCAGAACUUCUUGGCUUAUGUGACGGACACCGUUAGGUCCUAUGUGACGACUGCUCUCAGUCUUGUGAGGUCUUGGUAUUCUGUCACUAAUUUGCAGCCGCCAACUGGAGGACUACCUUUGGACUGCUCUGAUGAGCAGUUUGAGCAGAUCGUGAAGGAAGUGCAGCCUAUGGAUGAUAAAAUUGUGAAUGACAUGGAACAAUAGGAGUGAAUCUCCUUUGUAACGAACAUUGCACUUGUAAAUCAUGGGCCGAUUGGCUAUGACUUUGUUUGUGCCUGUAUCAGGAUUAGCAAGGGACAUUUGAAAAUGAAGUUGCAAUAGGGCAGAGGAAAAACAAGAACUUCAAUCCAGCAAAGUGGUGGCUAGACCAUGGUACGGACACACCAAACCUGAGAAUAUUGGCAUCAAGCAUUCUGAAUCUCACCUGCAGCUCCUCAGCUUGUCAGAGGAACUGGUCAGUUUUUGAACAGGUAAAGUAAAAAAUAGUCAACUGUCUAUUUACUAAUUCAUCUAUGCUUAAUAUGAUGUAAUAGCCCUCCUCUAAGGCUCUAUCAUUCGUACCAAAAAGCGCAACAGGCUGCUUCAUGAUAGGAUGAGAGAUUUGGUAUUUGUGAAGUUUAACUCUAAACUGAGGAACAAGAAACAGAACAAAGACAGAGAUCCUAUUGAGAAAGAAGUAGAAGAUGUCCAGGCAGAUGAUGAUAAUGAGUUCAUUACCGGUGCUAUUUAUGCGCCAAGUGAACUUGCUGAACGGGAGCCACAACAUGGAGCACCACAAAGACAAGAAUCAAUAUCACAAGCACAAGGAAAAAGUAAGAGGCUAGUGCGUCAUAGGGAAAAAAGUUAGGAGCCUGGAGUCUUUGAUACAUCAAGUUUCUGUGCAGUCCGGAGUUCCUGGAGCUCUGUCAGCUGACUUAGAAGAUGGAGAUGGUGACACUCAAAUGUAUUCUUCUAAUUCUGAUAAUUCUCUUGGCGCCUCUGAUUUUGAUGAUUAGAAAUGCAGUACAUAGUAGCUAGUAGAACCUUAACUCUGAUUCUGAUGAGUAGAAAUUCAGUAGAGAGUAGAUAGUGGAGACUAGAUUUUGUUGUGUUAAGUCUCCUGACAACUGAUCUGAACUCUAUGUUGUUCUUUUGCUAAUAGUCCUAGACAGGAGCAAUGUUCCUAUGGGCAAAUGUCAUGUCUGCACUAUGAAAUGCUUAUGUUAAGUGUUCUCUAUCUCGUAAA
Long non-coding RNA from Panicum virgatum (switchgrass), 1978 nucleotides. RefSeq lists it as uncharacterized. The record is from RefSeq and is a predicted model, not a curated record. The transcript has 5 exons. NCBI's taxonomy places the organism in Eukaryota, Viridiplantae, Streptophyta, Magnoliopsida, Poales, Poaceae.